CCUACGGGAGGCAGCAGUGGGGAAUUUUGGACAAUGGGGGCAACCCUGAUCCAGCCAUUCCGCGUGAGUGAAGAAGGCCUUCGGGUUGUAAAGCUCUUUCAGUUGGAACGAAACGGUACGCUCUAACAUAGCGUGCUAAUGACGGUACCGACAGAAGAAGCACCGGCUAACUACGUGCCAGCAGCCGCGGUAAUACGUAGGGUGCGAGCGUUAAUCGGAAUUACUGGGCGUAAAGCGUGCGCAGGCGGAUUGUUAAGCAAGAUGUGAAAUCCCCGGGCUUAACCUGGGAAUGGCAUUUUGAACUGGCAGUCUAGAGUGCGUCAGAGGGGGGUGGAAUUCCACGUGUAGCAGUGAAAUGCGUAGAUAUGUGGAGGAACACCAAUGGCGAAGGCAGCCCCCUGGGAUGACACUGACGCUCAUGUACGAAAGCGUGGGUAGCAAACAGGAUUAGAUACCCUGGUAGUCCACGCCCUAAACGAUGUCAACUGGUUGUUGGGGGAGUGAAAUCCCUUAGUAACGAAGCUAACGCGUGAAGUUGACCGCCUGGGGAGUACGGUCGCAAGAUUAAAACUCAAAGGAAUUGACGGGGACCCGCACAAGCGGUGGAUGAUGUGGAUUAAUUCGAU
RNAcentral lists this ribosomal RNA (626 nucleotides) under uncultured bacterium. RNAcentral describes it as "bacterial SSU rRNA". It matches the Rfam family "Bacterial small subunit ribosomal RNA", at positions 338 to 955 of the family's 1533-position model. The record is from RNAcentral.